GGAGGAGGUGCAGGGCCUGGCCAGAGCGGGCCUGGCCACGGGCAAGGGACAGCGACCGCCUGGACGGGGGCAGGUGAGCGCGGCGCAGGCCCCGGCCCGCCGUGUCCGCGGUGCGCACGAGCGGCCAGCAGAGGGCGGCAGAGAGCCAGGAGAGGCCCGCGGAGGAGCCCGCGCCGGCCACGAAGCUCAGCUCCGCGCCGCGCGGACCCACCGAGCCCGCGCUCAGACGCUCCAGCUCCGCCGAGAGGCCGCUCGCGCCGGGUCCUUCCUCUUCCCCAAGUGCAGGCAGAGCCCCCGGAGCCAUGGCCAGCCCUUCCGGCAGCUCCGAAGCCACUGGCAAGCCCCGAGGCAGGGAUGGCCGGCCCAGGAGGGAGGAGGACGACGUCCCUCCCGAGGAGAAGAGGCUGCGCCUGGGGCUGGAGGGGGGAAGCGCACAGCCCGAGGACUGCGAGGACGGGGAGGACGCGCCGCGGCCGGGCAGGGAGGAGACCGGCACCCAGACAGGUGGCGACGGCAGAGGA
RNAcentral lists this small RNA (521 nucleotides) under Pongo abelii (Sumatran orangutan). RNAcentral describes it as "processed transcript". Lineage: Eukaryota; Metazoa; Chordata; Mammalia; Primates; Hominidae. The record is from RNAcentral.